RNAcentral lists this ribosomal RNA (221 nucleotides) under uncultured bacterium. RNAcentral's name for it is "partial 16S ribosomal RNA". It matches the Rfam family "Bacterial small subunit ribosomal RNA", at positions 113 to 334 of the family's 1533-position model. The record is from RNAcentral.
CGACGUGGAUAACCUGCCUCACACUGGGGGAUAGCAGUUAGAAAUGACUGCUAAUACCGCAUAAGCGUACAGUGCCGCAUGGCAGUGUGUGAAAAACUCCGGUGGUGUGAGAUGGAUCCGCGUCUGAUUAGCCAGUUGGCGGGGUAACGGCCCACCAAAGCGACGAUCAGUAGCCGACCUGAGAGGGUGACCGGCCACAUUGGGACUGAGACACGGCCCAA